Molecule: ribosomal RNA, 468 nt
Filed under: uncultured bacterium
Lineage: Bacteria
Description: partial 16S ribosomal RNA
Rfam family: Bacterial small subunit ribosomal RNA
Source: RNAcentral
GACGAACGCUGGCGGCGUGCUUAACACAUGCAAGUCGAACGGAAAGGCCCUGCUUUUGUGGGGUGCUCGAGUGGCGAACGGGUGAGUAACACGUGAGUAACCUGCCCUUGACUUUGGGAUAACUUCAGGAAACUGGGGCUAAUACCGGAUAGGAGCUCCUGCUGCAUGGUGGGGGUUGGAAAGUUUCGGCGGUUGGGGAUGGACUCGCGGCUUAUCAGCUUGUUGGUGGGGUAGUGGCUUACCAAGGCUUUGACGGGUAGCCGGCCUGAGAGGGUGACCGGCCACAUUGGGACUGAGAUACGGCCCAGACUCCUACGGGAGGCAACAGGGGGGAAUAUUGCACAAUGGGCGGAAGCCUGAUGCAGCAACGCCGCGUGCGGGAUGACGGCCUUCGGGUUGGAAACCGCUUUCGCCUGUGACGAAGCGUGAGUGACGGUAAUGGGUAAAGAAGCACCGGCUAACUACGUG